RNAcentral lists this ribosomal RNA (492 nucleotides) under uncultured bacterium. RNAcentral describes it as "partial 16S ribosomal RNA". It matches the Rfam family "Bacterial small subunit ribosomal RNA", at positions 29 to 507 of the family's 1533-position model. The record is from RNAcentral.
AGUGAACGCUUGCGGUAGGCCUAACACAUGCAAGUCGAACGGCAGCACAGUAAGAGCUUGCUCUUACGGGUGGCGAGUGGCGGACGGGUGAGGAAUACAUCGGAAUCUACUUUUUCGUGGGGGAUAACGUAGGGAAACUUACGCUAAUACCGCAUACGACCUACGGGUGAAAGCAGGGGAUCUUCGGACCUUGCGCGAUUGAAUGAGCCGAUGUCGGAUUAGCUAGUUGGCGUGGUAAAGGCCCACCAAGGCGACGAUCCGUAGCUGGUCUGAGAGGAUGAUCAGCCACGCUGGAACUGAGACACGGUCCAGACUCCUACGGGAGGCAGCAGUGGGGAAUAUUGGACAAUGGGCGCAAGCCUGAUCCAGCCAUACCGCGUGGGUGAAGAAGGCCUUCGGGUUGUAAAGCCCUUUUGUUGGGAAAGAAAAGCAGCAGGUUAAUACCCCGCUGUUCUGACGGUACCCAAAGAAUAAGCACCGGCUAACUUCGUG